This 493-nucleotide ribosomal RNA is filed under the name uncultured Propionibacterium sp. RNAcentral describes it as "bacterial SSU rRNA". It matches the Rfam family "Bacterial small subunit ribosomal RNA", at positions 1 to 507 of the family's 1533-position model. The record is from RNAcentral. Lineage: Bacteria; Bacillati; Actinomycetota; Actinomycetes; Propionibacteriales; Propionibacteriaceae.
AGUAGUUUCGAUCCGUGGCUACAGGACGAACGCUGGCGGCGUGCUUAACACAUGCAAGUCGAACGGAAAGGCCCUGCUUUUGUGGGGUGCUCGAGUGGCGAACGGGUGAGUAACACGUGAGUAACCUGCCCUUGACUUUGGGAUAACUUCAGGAAACUGGGGGCUAAUACCGGAUAGGAGCUCCUGCUGCAUGGUGGGGGUUGGAAAGUUUCGGCGGUUGGGGAUGGACUCGCGGCUUAUCAGCUUGUUGGUGGGGUAGUGGCUUACCAAGGCUUUGACGGGUAGCCGGCCUGAGAGGGUGACCGGCCACAUUGGGACUGAGACACGGCCCAGACUCCUACGGGAGGCAGCAGUGGGGAAUAUUGCACAAUGGGCGGAAGCCUGAUGCAGCAACGCCGCGUGCGGGAUGACGGCCUUCGGGUUGUAAACCGCUUUCGCCUGUGACGAAGCGUGAGUGACGGUAAUGGGUAAAGAAGCACCGGCUAACUACGUG